CAGCAGCCGCGGGAAUACGAAGGGUGCAAGCGUUACUCGGAAUUACUGGGCGUAAAGCGUGCGUAGGCGGUGAGUUAAGUCUGCUGUGGAAUCCCCGGGCUCAACCUGGGAAUGGCAGUGGAUACUGGCUCGCUAGAGUGUGUCAGAGGAUGGUGGAAUUCCCGGUGUAGCGGUGAAAUGCGUAGAGAUCGGGAGGAACAUCAGUGGCGAAGGCGGCCAUCUGGGACAACACUGACGCUGAGGCACGAAAGCGUGGGGAGCAAACAGGAUUAGAUACCCCCGUAGUCCCUGUCUCUUAUAC
Molecule: ribosomal RNA, 301 nt
Filed under: uncultured bacterium
Lineage: Bacteria
Description: partial 16S ribosomal RNA
Rfam family: Bacterial small subunit ribosomal RNA
Source: RNAcentral